GACGAACGCUGGCGGCGUGCUUAACACAUGCAAGUCGAACGAAGAGCGAUGGAAGCUUGCUUCUAUCAAUCUUAGUGGCGAACGGGUGAGUAACGCGUAAUCAACCUGCCCUUCAGAGGGGGACAACAGUUGGAAACGACUGCUAAUACCGCAUACGAUCCGACCUCGGCAUCGAGGAUGGAUGAAAGGUGGCCUCUAUUUAUAAGCUAUCACUGAAGGAGGGGAUUGCGUCUGAUUAGCUAGUUGGAGGGGUAACGGCCCACCAAGGCAAUGAUCAGUAGCCGGUCUGAGAGGAUGAAAGGCCACAUUGGGACUGAGACACGGCCCAGAAUCCUACGGGAGGCAGCAGGGGGGAAUCUUUCGCAAUGGACGAAAGUCUGAAGGAGCAACGCCGCGUGAGGGAUGACGGCAUUCGGGUUGUGAAGCUCUGUUAAUCGGGACGAAAGGUCUUCUUGCGAAUAGUUAGAGGAAUUGACGGUACCGGAAGAGAAAGCCACGGCUAACUACGUG
This 510-nucleotide ribosomal RNA is filed under the name uncultured bacterium. Its description in RNAcentral is "partial 16S ribosomal RNA". It matches the Rfam family "Bacterial small subunit ribosomal RNA", at positions 28 to 507 of the family's 1533-position model. The record is from RNAcentral.